GUAGGGGGCGAGCGUUGUCCGGAUUUAUUGGGCGUAAAGAGCUCGUAGGCGGUUUGGCAAGUCGGGUGUGAAAACUCCGGGCUCAACUCGGAGACGCCACUCGAUACUGCCAUGACUCGAGUCCGGUAGGGGAGUGCGGAAUUCCUGGUGUAGCGGUGAAAUGCGCAGAUAUCAGGAGGAACACCGGUGGCGAAGGCGGCACUCUGGGCCGGUACUGACGCUGAGGAGCGAAAGCGUGGGGAGCGAACAGGAUUAGAUGCCCUGGUAGUCCACGCCGUAAACGUUGGGCACUAGGUGUGGGGCUCGAUCGACGGGCUCCGUGCCGUAGCUAACGCAUUAAGUGCCCCGCCUGGGAAGUACGGCCGCAAGGCUR
RNAcentral lists this ribosomal RNA (373 nucleotides) under uncultured bacterium. RNAcentral describes it as "bacterial SSU rRNA". It matches the Rfam family "Bacterial small subunit ribosomal RNA", at positions 527 to 896 of the family's 1533-position model. The record is from RNAcentral.